AUGGAUACAGUCAGAGGCCCCAGAGAGAGUCUGGUCCAAACUGCCCACUUUCCAGAUGACAAAACUGAGGUUGAGAGAGAAGUAGUCCGUCCAAGCUCGCACAGUGAUUGGAAUCCCGAUGGACACGCCCCAGGCUCCUGGCCCCAGCUGCCCGUGUCCGGAGGACGACAUCCUGUACCCGACUCACAGCAGAAGCUUCUUGAGAGGGAGAAGGGAGGGUGAGGACACACCGUGAGAUUCAGCUGAAACCAUCUGCCCAUCCCUGAUGGAAAGAUGCCACUCACCCACUUAGCAGGGGGACCCCACAAGCACCUGAGCAAGUGACACCUCUGCACUCCAAAUGCCUGCGUGCUGUCGCCGUUAUGGAGGCUUUAUGUACCCAGGAGGGUGCUCCGAUCUCUGGACAUCAUGCCACCGCAGGACACACUGGCCUGAGAAUAACAGGUGGCUGGGGCUUCCGAAGCCCCGUGCUCACCAGUGAGAGGAGAGGAGACUGACAGAGCUGGGCUGCCCUCUUCAAAUGCCAGAGGCUGCCUCGCGGGACAUGUGGGCACCUCCUCGUCCCUGCUCCAGAGCCGGGCUGAGUGGAAGUCGAAGGACGCCAGCAGAAUGUCUCAGACCGCCUGCUGCCCGUGGAGAGACAGCCUCCCGCGAGGCAGGGACUCCGUCAUGCACAGGCCCGCAGAGGAAGCAGGGGUCCAUGCACCAGGGAGAGGUACACUGAG
Molossus molossus (Pallas's mastiff bat) is the source of this 725-nucleotide long non-coding RNA. RefSeq lists it as uncharacterized. The transcript is spliced from 4 exons. Lineage: Eukaryota; Metazoa; Chordata; Mammalia; Chiroptera; Molossidae. The record is from RefSeq and is a predicted model, not a curated record.